Long non-coding RNA from Mirounga angustirostris (Northern elephant seal), 1592 nucleotides. RefSeq lists it as uncharacterized. The record is from RefSeq and is a predicted model, not a curated record. Lineage: Eukaryota; Metazoa; Chordata; Mammalia; Carnivora; Phocidae. The transcript has 3 exons.
AUUCAAGGGAAAAAAUGUGUGUUCUUCAUUGAAACCUAUUCAACAACAACAACAAUAAAGUUUAGUGUCAAAUCCAGUGGUGCCGAGUUUGAUGUUUUUUGUUCUGUGACGUAAAGGAGACUAUCUUCAGGACUGCCCAGAGGUGUCCCCUCACCAUUAGAAAAGGUCCUGGGACCAUUUAGAACUGGGCCUGACUUUGCUCAGACAUUAACUGUGCAAUACACUUGUUUUGCUCGGUCUGCAUGGUGCCCUCUGGAACAUUUGGUGCGCAGUGGACUUUGGGCAGAGGCUUAGCGGAAGAGGAGCAGAGGAAGAGGAGAGGCCAGUCCACUACGUAAGGUGGCCUGCUUGCAGACCGAGAGUGGCAAGAGAAAAGUGUGCACCUUUGAGAAGUGCAAGGGAGUCAUUUGGAGAGCUGAUAUGCCUUACUGGAUUUCGCAACUCAUCGUGGAGAAUUAUAUUCAAAGGAAUCUGUCGUUCUGAAUGUUAACUGACUAGAACAGCAGUGUUGAUGGUCCUUAAUCCAAAUUUGAGGAGCUCAGAACCCCCUGAAGUUUGCCAAGUCUACAAAGAAUGCAAGCCAAGGUUCUUUCUCCAGAGACGGUGUUUGGUGUUUCUGAGGCAGGAGCUACAGUGGCAGUCGAGGUGGACGACAGCAUGCCUGCUGAGUGCUGGCCCCUGGAGGAAAGGCCAGGGCUGGGGCCUCCCAUCGAUCACCUACAGGACCGCCCUCCCUGGGCCCUAACCUGGGCCGUCUGCAGGACAAGGGACACAAGCACACUCCAUGCCAUUGUCUGGCACCAGCCCAGGCCCCUGGCCGCCAGCCUGGCUCUGAGCCCUGCUCCAGGUCUUAGACAAGCCUUCUGCCUAGUUCCUGAGACCUACUCAUGUUUCAGGCACUGAAAAAGACUCCUGUGAACUCAGGGGACUCUAUGGUCCAGUAGGGGGGCCACCAGACAUUAAAUAUUCGUACACGUAAUUGUGGCCAGUACUACAAGGAGAAAGUACAGGGAGCUAUGAGGGAGGUUCAGAGCAAGCAGGUAAGGGUGGGGGAAGCCAGGAAAGUCAUAUAUAUCUGAAAAGGUUUCCUUUAAGGAAAGACGUGAAGGAUCCGGAGUAGUUAGCCGAGUAAAUGGUACAAGGCAAAGCACGUUCACAGACCUCACACUGGCAAAGAGUUUGAAACUUGUGAGGAAUUUUUAAAACCUCAGGGCGGGCAAGCGGGAUCACUGUCCUGUGGUGUGAAGCUGAUAGGGCACUGUCCUCAGCCACACCUGUGGGACGGCUCCCCCUGGGGGGGGGCCUCCUGGGCUGGGACUGCGGUGGGACCCCCGGGAAGUCGAUCGGUGAGCUAGCUGCAAAUGGUCUCCCAGUAGUAGAGCUCUCACAAACGGCUGGAAAUCUGCUUUUCUUCCAAGAUUCACACCAUGCUUUUUAUUAACUGACAAAUUGCAUCUUUUUGGCUCCUUGUGUAACCAAGCUCAGUUCCUCAUGAGUCUUGUAGACCUAUUACUUCUACUCACUGUCAAGAAGAUUGGUUAUUUCCACCAAGUCAGACAUCGUGGUUUGGUUGGUAUGUUUGAUGAUCAGCC